GACGUAGGAUGCAAGCGUUGUCCGGAUUUAUUGGGCGUAAAGAGUUCGUAGGCGGUCUGUUAAGUCUGAUGUUAAAGAUCGGGGCUCAACCCUGGGAGUGCAUUGGAUACUGGCAGGCUUGAGUGCAGUAGAGGCGAGUGGAAUUCCCAGUGUAGCGGUGAAAUGCGUAGAUAUUGGGAAGAACACCGGUGGCGUAGGCGACUCGCUGGGCUGUAACUGACGCUGAGGAACGAAAGCCAGGGGAG
This 245-nucleotide ribosomal RNA is filed under the name uncultured Vampirovibrio sp. Its description in RNAcentral is "partial 16S ribosomal RNA". It matches the Rfam family "Bacterial small subunit ribosomal RNA", at positions 524 to 768 of the family's 1533-position model. Lineage: Bacteria; Bacillati; Candidatus Melainabacteria; Vampirovibriophyceae; Vampirovibrionales; Vampirovibrionaceae. The record is from RNAcentral.